This 460-nucleotide ribosomal RNA is filed under the name uncultured bacterium. RNAcentral describes it as "partial 16S ribosomal RNA". It matches the Rfam family "Bacterial small subunit ribosomal RNA", at positions 338 to 795 of the family's 1533-position model. The record is from RNAcentral.
CCUACGGGAGGCAGCAGUGAGGAAUAUUGGUCAAUGGACGAGAGUCUGAACCAGCCAAGUAGCGUGAAGGAUGACUGCCCUAUGGGUUGUAAACUUCUUUUAUAUGGGAAUAAAAUGUUCCACGUGUGGGAUUUUGUAUGUACCAUAUGAAUAAGGAUCGGCUAACUCCGUGCCAGCAGCCGCGGUAAUACGGAGGAUCCGAGCGUUAUCCGGAUUUAUUGGGUUUAAAGGGAGCGUAGGUGGAUUGUUAAGUCAGUUGUGAAAGUUUGCGGCUUAACCGUAAAAUUGCAGUUGAAACUGGCAGUCUUGAGUACAGGAGAGGUGGGCGGAAUUCGUGGUGUAGCGGUGAAAUGCUUAGAUAUCACGAAGAACUCCGAUUGCGAAGGCAGUUCACUGGACUGCAACUGACACUGAGGCUCGAAAGUGUGGGUAUCAAACAGGAUUAGAUACCCCAGUAGUC